AAUACUCUUGUUCUGCUGUUGAUGUGAGAACUGAUGUGGUUUUAAUAGAAAAUAAUACCUAAAAUUUCAGCUGGCCUAGUUUGGAUUACAUCAUCUCCUCGCCUCUCUUUUGGUGCUGAGAAUGAAGCUUUUUAGCUGUAUCGCCCACACUUAUCCUGAGUUGAGUCCAUUGUUCCCAGUAGGCUGUUCUUAGUGGAAAUUAAACUGUGACUACAGAGAAAAAUAGAAAGGCUUUUUCUGUCACUGUCUGGCAGUUCAGUCUGUUCAUCUUUUUUUUUUUUAAAGUGUGUAAAUAACCCAAACACAUGACUCUUGUUUUUUAUGACGAUGUCGGUUUAGUGGGGGAAAAAAUAACUGUCUCUAUGGAAACCAGGCUAAUGACUCAGUGUUGACUGAGUCUUCAAGCAUGUGUUACUGAGUGGUGUGUGCGUGCAUGAGUAUGUGGUCACGUGUGUGUGUGUGUGUGUGUGUGUGUGUGUUUCUGCUUUGGUAAGGGAGUAACCCCAGACAGACUCAUUGGAAAAGAAAACCUGUGGCUAAAGCUAUUUUUGGUUUUAAAAUAUCUUAAAACAAAUUAAUGUUGUCUGUAUUUUUUUAUAUCAAAGUCACUCAUUCUCUUGGGUUUAUUUAUAUUGUUUCUAUUGGCAAACCACACUUUUAUUUUAAUGUGUGAAGAAGAAGAAGCUCUUCUGGAAAAUGCUUUUCAAAUUUUUUUAUGUUGAUUUUUAAGCACCCCGCACCAAGCGGCAACCUCCAGGGCUGAAAAAUGAAGCCAAUGCGGAGUGCCAAAAACUGCAGUUCCUCAAAUGGCCACUUGAGGCUAGCUCCAAAAACGAGUCAAUCCCAUAGAGCCCCAUGUUAAAAUGCCCAACUUUACAGCAGAAAUAAACAUGUUUACAGAAUGGUACAACAAACGCUUUGAUCUCUGUAGCUAAUUUUCCCCUUCAUGACAACUGUGAGGGGGGUGAAUUUUUUUUUAGAACUCACCCGUUUAAAUUAUAUUAAGGUUUAAAGUUAUACAUAAUUAAGGGCCGCUUUGAGUGGCAGGUGGGUGCCUCUCAGGCGGCUAACCGCUAGGUGGUUUCAUCAACCCGGCUUCAUUUGGCCCGCCUCAGCUCCACCUCUUUGCCCAUUUUUGGAUUAGCUGGAGUCAGGGACUGCAAAGAUGAUGACGGCCGGAGCCACCGGAGGCACACACUUUGAGCUUCACAACGGCUCUUCAAAAACCUACGGAUGAUGUCAUGGACACUACGUCCAUGUUUUAUACAGUCUAUGCUCCGCGCCAGCGAUAGCCGUGGUCCGCCCAUCUGGCUUGUUCUCAUGACCGCGAUAUCGCUGGAACGCCUUGAGGGAAUUUCCUCAAAUUUGGCUCAAACGUCCACUUGGCCUCAAGGAUAAACUGAUUAGAAUUUGGUUGUCAAAGGUCAUGGUCACUGUGACCUCAAAAUGAUCUCGACAACACGUAUUUGUCCAUAACUCAAGAACUGAUGCAGUCAAAGGUCAUCUUCACUGUGACAUCAUAAUGUUAUAGAAAAACACUUUUUUGGCCAUUUUUCAACACCAUAACUCAAUUACCAUAACUCGAUUGUAACCAUAUUUCACAGUUGGUUGGACACUGAAUAGGUGACACUUUUGACUCAAAGGUCAUUGUGACCUCAAAAUAGGUUUUUAGCCAUAAUUUAAGAAUGAAUUGGGCAAUUUCAGAUUUCACACACAUGUUGGCUGGGACGACACAAUGAGUAAACAGUAACUAGCACAGCACAGGCUUUCUUCCAUCUCGUCCAUUCUGCCUUUCGAUUCCUGCGAAUCGAAUUACGUGACUCAGAAUUACGUGACUGCUAACAACGUAUUGGAGCGCGCCUAGCUAAUUGAUUUAUAAAUGGAUUGCUAUAUUAAUUUGUAAAUGGUAUUGGUGGAGACCAAAGCAGAGCUAAAACGAGAGUGAAUACUGGACUUACAUUCAUCAGUCAGAAACUCGACUCCAAAUGAAUGCUAAUGUUGCUCUGUGUCAGCUGAAUGUGUAAAUAGGCAACUGCUUGCUAACACGUUAGCCAUAACAACUUUAUGAGGUGAUAAUAUGUCAAUGUUUGUGUUUACAGCUUGUUCUGCUGCCCCCAUAAAUAGAUUGCCAACAAAUCUAUUUAUACUGCUUUAGCUAUAAGUACUUCAACAAAAUAUAAUUUAACUAUAGGGCUGGGUAUCGUUUGACAAUUUUCAAUAUAAUACUUUCUUCGAUGCCUUACUUUGGGGAAAGUAAAAACCUACUUCCUGCUCUCUUACAGUGCAGACGCUUUCCUGCUUGCUCUCUGCUUUGCUUAUAUUAUUUUGCUGAUAUCUGUCAAAAGCUAGGGAAAGUUGAUCCUGAAUACUUAAAAAUCAUUGGGAUGUUAAUUUAUAAGAGACACAGAAGGAUACCACCAUUCUUUUUAUUUAUUUUUUAACACUUUAUUACUUCUUUAGUACGGUGCAAGCGUGACCUACAAACAGCACAAGCCUUUUUCUGUGUCUGUGACUGGAAACCUGGGAUUAGUACAAAGACAAGAUGGCAAAAUCUGUGAGCUGCACCGAGUAGCAUCCCGUCACAGACUUGGCUGAUCAUCCCUUGGAUGUGUCCAAACAUCACUGGAUUAGCUGCGGAGGCUCCCAAACCAGCCAUCCAGCACCGGUGCUAGACCGAAAGCAUCAACUCCAGCAAGGACUUGGUCUGACGUUGUCCGCCGCGAAGGCAAAUCCAGUAAGAAAUCAAAUAAGAG
Siniperca chuatsi (mandarin fish) is the source of this 2753-nucleotide long non-coding RNA. RefSeq lists it as uncharacterized. The transcript has 2 exons. NCBI's taxonomy places the organism in Eukaryota, Metazoa, Chordata, Actinopteri, Centrarchiformes, Sinipercidae. The record is from RefSeq and is a predicted model, not a curated record.